CACUCCUACGGGAGGCAGCAGUGGGGAAUAUUGGACAAUGGGCGCAAGCCUGAUCCAGCCACGCCGCGUGAGUGAUGAAGGCCCUAGGGUUGUAAAGCUCUUUCACCGGUGAAGAUAAUGACGGUAACCGGAGAAGAAGCCCCGGCUAACUUCGUGCCAGCAGCCGCGGUAAUACGAAGGGGGCUAGCGUUGUUCGGAUUUACUGGGCGUAAAGCGCACGUAGGCGGACUAUUAAGUCAGGGGUGAAAUCCCGGGGCUCAACCCCGGAACUGCCUUUGAUACUGGUAGUCUUGAGUUCGAGAGAGGUGAGUGGAAUUCCGAGUGUAGAGGUGAAAUUCGUAGAUAUUCGGAGGAACACCAGUGGCGAAGGCGGCUCACUGGCUCGAUACUGACGCUGAGGUGCGAAAGCGUGGGGAGCAAACAGGAUUAGAUACCCGUGUAGUCCC
RNAcentral lists this ribosomal RNA (446 nucleotides) under uncultured organism. RNAcentral's name for it is "partial 16S ribosomal RNA". It matches the Rfam family "Bacterial small subunit ribosomal RNA", at positions 334 to 797 of the family's 1533-position model. The record is from RNAcentral.